RNAcentral lists this ribosomal RNA (185 nucleotides) under uncultured bacterium. RNAcentral describes it as "partial 16S ribosomal RNA". It matches the Rfam family "Bacterial small subunit ribosomal RNA", at positions 1309 to 1500 of the family's 1533-position model. The record is from RNAcentral.
AACCCGACUCCGUGAAGCUGGAUUCGCUAGUAAUCGGCGCAUCAGCCAUGGCGCGGUGAAUACGUUCCCGGGCCUUGUACACACCGCCCGUCAAGCCAUGGAAGCCGGGGGCGCUUGAAGUGCGUUGCCGCAAGGCGCGCCCUAGAGCGAAACCGGUGACUGGGGCUAAGUCGUAACAAGGUACC